GACGAACGCUGGCGGCGUGCCUAACACAUGCAAGUCGAACGGAGUGAUUCGCUGAUUUGAUUCUAGCUUGCUAGAGGAUUUUCUUGAAUCACUUAGUGGCGGACGGGUGAGUAACACGUGAGCAACCUGCCUUACAGAGGGGGACAACAGUUGGAAACGACUGCUAAUACCGCAUAACGUAUUUUGAAGGCAUCUUCGAAAUACCAAAGGAGCAAUCCGCUGUAAGAUGGGCUCGCGUCCGAUUAGAUAGUUGGCGGGGUAACGGCCCACCAAGUCGACGAUCGGUAGCCGGACUGAGAGGUUGAACGGCCACGAUUGGGACUGAGACACGGCCCAGACUCCUACGGGAGGCAGCAGUAGGGAAUAUUGCACAAUGGGGGGAACCCUGAUGCAGCAACGCCACGUGUGGGAAGAAGCAUUUCGGUGUGUAAACCACUGUCGGAAGGACGAAGGACGUGACGGUACCUGCAGAAAAAGCAACGGCUAACUACGUGCCAGCAG
Molecule: ribosomal RNA, 501 nt
Filed under: uncultured bacterium
Lineage: Bacteria
Description: bacterial SSU rRNA
Rfam family: Bacterial small subunit ribosomal RNA
Source: RNAcentral